This 468-nucleotide ribosomal RNA is filed under the name uncultured bacterium. RNAcentral's name for it is "partial 16S ribosomal RNA". It matches the Rfam family "Bacterial small subunit ribosomal RNA", at positions 28 to 507 of the family's 1533-position model. The record is from RNAcentral.
GACGAACGCUGGCGGCGUGCUUAACACAUGCAAGUCGAACGGAAAGGCCCUGCUUUUGUGGGGUGCUCGAGUGGCGAACGGGUGAGUAACACGUGAGUAACCUGCCCUUGACUUUGGGAUAACUUCAGGAAACUGGGGCUAAUACCGGAUAGGAGCUCCUGCUGCAUGGUGGGGGUUGGAAAGUUUCGGCGGUUGGGGAUGGACUCGCGGCUUAUCCGCUUGUUGGUGGGGUAGUGGCUUACCAAGGCUUUGACGGGUAGCCGGCCUGGGAGGGUGACCGGCCACAUUGGGACUGAGAUACGGCCCAGACUGCUACGGGAGGCAGCAGUGGGGAAUAUUGCACAAUGGGCGGAAGCCUGAUGCAGCAACGCCGCGUGCGGGAUGACGGCCUUCGGGUUGUAAACCGCUUUCGCCUGUGACGAAGCGUGAGUGACGGUAAUGGGUAAAGAAGCACCGGCUAACUACGUG